RNAcentral lists this ribosomal RNA (860 nucleotides) under Oxydothis inaequalis. RNAcentral's name for it is "eukaryotic LSU rRNA". It matches the Rfam family "Eukaryotic large subunit ribosomal RNA", at positions 1 to 945 of the family's 3401-position model. Lineage: Eukaryota; Fungi; Ascomycota; Sordariomycetes; Amphisphaeriales; Oxydothidaceae. The record is from RNAcentral.
GGCCUGCAUGAGCUAACUUACUUCAGUACUUAGCUGAAGUGAGCCGGGUAGCCCCAGUUUAAAUCUGGCCCUCGGGCCCGAAUUGUAAUUUGUAAAGGAUGCUUUUGGUGCGGUGCCUUCCCCGUUCCCUGGAACGGGACGCCUUAGAGGGUGAGAGCCCCGUACGGUUGGACGCCUAGCCUCUGUAAAGCUCCUUCGACGAGUCGAGUAGUUUGGGAAUGCUGCUCAAAAUGGGAGGUAAAUUUCUUCUAAAGCUAAAUACCGGCCAGAGACCGAUAGCGCACAAGUAGAGUGAUCGAAAGAUGAAAAGCACUUUGAAAAGAGGGUUAAAUAGCACGUGAAAUUGUUGAAAGGGAAGCGUUUAUGACCAGACUUUCUCCUGGCGGAUCAUCCGGUGUUCUCACCGGUGCACUUCGCCUGGUUUAGGCCAGCAUCGGUUUUCUUAGGGGGAUAAAAACGGUGGUAAUGUGGCUCCCUCGGGAGUGUUAUAGACUGCCGUAUAAUACCCCUAGGAGGACCGAGGUUCGCGCUCUGCAAGGAUGCUGGCGUAAUGGUCAUCAACGACCCGUCUUGAAACACGGACCAAGGAGUCGAACAUUUGUGCGAGUGUUUGGGUGUUAAACCCCUACGCGUAAUGAAAGUGAACGGAGGUGAGAGCCUUUUAGGUGCAUCAUCGACCGAUCCUGAAGUUUUCGGAUGGAUUUGAGUAAGAGCAUAACUGUUCGGACCCGAAAGAUGGUGAACUAUGCGUGGAUAGGGUGAAGCCAGAGGAAACUCUGGUGGAGGCUCGCAGCGGUUCUGACGUGCAAAUCGAUCGUCAAAUCUGCGCAUGGGGGGCGAAAGACUAAAUCGAACCAUUA